GGGCACAUGGUGUAGUUGGUUAUCACGCUCGCUUAGCAGAUGCAGAAUCUGGACUGCGAGAGGUGUUGGGUUCAAUUCCCAAUGUGUCCA
This is a non-coding RNA of Favolaschia claudopus, 90 nucleotides long. NCBI's taxonomy places the organism in Eukaryota, Fungi, Basidiomycota, Agaricomycetes, Agaricales, Mycenaceae. The record is from the annotation of a GenBank genome assembly.